RNAcentral lists this ribosomal RNA (489 nucleotides) under uncultured bacterium. RNAcentral's name for it is "partial 16S ribosomal RNA". It matches the Rfam family "Bacterial small subunit ribosomal RNA", at positions 30 to 507 of the family's 1533-position model. The record is from RNAcentral.
UUGAACGCUGGCGGCAGGCCUAACACCUGCAAGUCGAACGGUAACAGGAAGAAGCUUGCUUCUUUGCUGACGAGUGGCGGACGGGUGAGUAAUGUCUGGGAAACUGCCUGAUGGAGGGGGAUAACUACUGGAAACGGUAGCUAAUACCGCAUAACGUCGCAAGACCAAAGAGGGGGACCUUCGGGCCUCUUGCCAUCGGAUGUGCCCAGAUGGGAUUAGCUAGUAGGUGGGGUAACGGCUCACCUAGGCGACGAUCCCUAGCUGGUCUGAGAGGAUGACCAGCCACACUGGAACUGAGACACGGUCCAGACUCCUACGGGAGGCAGCAGUGGGGAAUAUUGCACAAUGGGCGCAAGCCUGAUGCAGCCAUGCCGCGUGUAUGAAGAAGGCCUUCGGGUUGUAAAGUACUUUCAGCGGGGAGGAAGGGAGUAAAGUUAAUACCCUUGCUCAUUGACGUUACCCGCAGAAGAAGCACCGGCUAACUCCGUG